This 269-nucleotide ribosomal RNA is filed under the name uncultured anaerobic ammonium-oxidizing bacterium. RNAcentral describes it as "partial 16S ribosomal RNA". It matches the Rfam family "Bacterial small subunit ribosomal RNA", at positions 565 to 832 of the family's 1533-position model. The record is from RNAcentral.
GAGCACGUAGGUGGGUUUGUAAGUCGGUUGUGAAAGCCUUCCGCUUAACGGAAGAACGGCAUCCGAUACUGCAUAGCUUGAGUGCGGGAGGGGGGAGUGGAACUUCUGGUGGAGCGGUGAAAUGCGUAGAUAUCAGAAGGAACACCGGCGGCGAAGGCGACUCUCUGGUCCGUAACUGACGCUGAGUGUGCGAAAGCUAGGGGAGCAAACGGGAUUAGAUACCCCGGUAGUCCUAGCCGUAAACGAUGGGCACUAAGUAGAGGGGUUUU